AAAAAAUUAGUUAAACUUAUAACAUUAGUAUGUCAAACUAAAAUUAUUAAUUAUUUUGAUAUUUUUUA
Molecule: transfer RNA, 68 nt
Filed under: Drosophila calloptera group sp. PMO-2008
Lineage: Eukaryota; Metazoa; Arthropoda; Insecta; Diptera; Drosophilidae
Description: tRNA-Asp
Source: RNAcentral